This 253-nucleotide ribosomal RNA is filed under the name uncultured bacterium. Its description in RNAcentral is "partial 16S ribosomal RNA". It matches the Rfam family "Bacterial small subunit ribosomal RNA", at positions 524 to 776 of the family's 1533-position model. The record is from RNAcentral.
UACAGAAGUCCCAAGCGUUGUUCGGAUUUAUUGGGCGUAAAGGGUGCGUAGGCGGCGGAGUAAGUUGGGUGUGAAAUCCCGGGGCUCAACCUCGGAAUUGCAUUCAAUACUGCUUCGCUAGAGUACUGGAGAGGAGGCUGGAAUUUACGGUGUAGCAGUGAAAUGCGUAGAUAUCGUAAGGAAGGCCGGUGGCGAAAGCGAGCCUCUGGACAGUUACUGACGCUGAUGCACGAAGGCCAGGGGAGCAAACGGG